RNAcentral lists this ribosomal RNA (555 nucleotides) under Triticum aestivum (bread wheat). RNAcentral describes it as "partial small subunit ribosomal RNA". Lineage: Eukaryota; Viridiplantae; Streptophyta; Magnoliopsida; Poales; Poaceae. The record is from RNAcentral.
AUGGCCGAAUGCUUCAAUAGGGUGCUCAAAGGUGCACGUGGAUUACCCGUGACGGCAAUAGUUCAAUACACAUUUGACAAGGUGAAUGCGUACUUUGUAAAGUACUCGAUGGAAACCGAUGCACAGAUAGCGGGUGAGAACCCACGGAAGUACAAGUACAAGUUCCCACCCAAAGUUGAUGAAUGGUUGGUAUCUCAAUCACGGAAGGCGGACUCAGAAGAAGCUAUAUUAUAUGACAAUGAAGAGUGGAAGUACGAAGUGAAAGAGCCAGGAGGAACCACAAACGAUGGCCGGCAACAUGGAGGUCGGGCUUUCAAGGUGUUGUUAACACAAUGUGAUUGCACUUGCGGGAGGCCAUUGUUGCUUCAUCUCCCAUGCUCACACUUGUAUACCGCCGGUCGCGUUAGGAAUGUGGACAUCAAUCACCCACGCACCGUGAGGGAGUCGGAGUUCUCAAUCAUGACGGUCAAGAAAACAUGGGCUCCCCGCUUUCACCCAUACUUUGACCAAUCACAAUGGCCGGAGUAUCAUGGAGUUCAACUAUGGCCGGAUCCG